UUGAUCCUGGCUCAGAAUCAACGCUGGCGGCGUGCCUAACACAUGCAAGUCGAACGCGAAAAGGGCUUCGGCUCUGAGUAGAGUGGCGAACGGGUGAGUUACACGUGGGUGACCUACCUUCGAAUGGGGGAUAACGUCCCGAAAGGGACUCUAAUACCGCAUGACAUCCUGCUUUUGAACAGGUGGAGAUCAAAGCCGGUGAUCGCAAGACCUGGCGUUUGAAGAGGGGCCCGCGUCUGAUUAGCUAGUUGGUGAGGUAACGGCCCACCAAGGCAACGAUCAGUAUCCGGCCUGAGAGGUCGGACGGACACACUGGGACUGAGACACGGCCCAGACUCCUACGGGAGGCUGCAGUGGGGAAUUGUUCGCAAUGGGCGCAAGCCUGACGACGCAACGCCGUGUGGAGGAUGAAGGUCUUCGGAUUGUAAACUCCUGUUGCUCGGGACGAAUAGCUUCGACCUAACACGUCGAAGUCUGACGGUACCGGGUGAGGAAGCCCUGGCUAACUCUGUGCCAGCAGCCGCGGUAAUAAGGU
RNAcentral lists this ribosomal RNA (535 nucleotides) under uncultured Acidobacteriota bacterium. RNAcentral's name for it is "bacterial SSU rRNA". It matches the Rfam family "Bacterial small subunit ribosomal RNA", at positions 13 to 529 of the family's 1533-position model. The record is from RNAcentral. Lineage: Bacteria; Pseudomonadati; Acidobacteriota.